UCCUGAAUGAUGGCCUAUUCCUAUUUACGAC
Molecule: non-coding RNA, 31 nt
Filed under: Mus musculus (house mouse)
Lineage: Eukaryota; Metazoa; Chordata; Mammalia; Rodentia; Muridae
Source: RNAcentral